GAUGAAAGGGUACGUCACAUUUCACGUCACUACUGCAGCAGAAGUCUUGGGUGUUGGAAAAUGGCCUAUGUAUUAAGCAACUUAAGUUCAGCGUCCCAGUGCCGUUUUGAUUCAAAGAACCCAAUGCCGAUUUGACUGAGUGAUGAUUGAACAAAGUUAUUGACCCAAUGCCGAUUUUACUGGCGAUUGCGUGAUGACAAAUCAGAACAAUAUUCCAGCACAUUUUUUAAAACCUGUAAGAUAUGGAGAGAAUUUUCUGGCCAUAAAACAACACAAUAUCUACAUGUAUAUGGGGAUAGAUUUUCAUCUAAAGCAGACAUACAAGGUGUAACAUACAGCCUGCCUUUUUUCAUGGUGAAUACAUUGAAGAACAGACACCAUGACCCCAAGCUUGCUUCAAAAUGGAAGCAAUGCAGUCACUGUCAGGGAAAUGAAGCCAGAAUUGUGUAAAAAUUUGAAAAAUAAAUGCAGGA
Molecule: long non-coding RNA, 473 nt
Organism: Saccostrea cuccullata (small rock oyster)
Lineage: Eukaryota; Metazoa; Mollusca; Bivalvia; Ostreida; Ostreidae
Exons: 5
Source: RefSeq, a predicted model, not a curated record